GGAGGUAAAAGUCGUAACAAGGUUUCCGUAGGUGAACCUGCGGAAGGAUCAUUAUUGUAUAACCGAGGUGCGAGGGCUGUCGCUGACCCGAAAGGUCGUGCACGCCCGAGUGCCCUCACACACAUCCAUCUCACCCCUAUGUGCACCACCGCGUGGGUCCCCCUUUGGCUUGUUCGGAGGGGGGCUUACGUUUUCACACAAACUUUGUAUGCAGUGUAGAAUGUAUUUUUUGUUUUUGCGAUCACGCAAUCAAUACAACUUUCAACAACGGAUCUCUUGGCUCUC
This 285-nucleotide unclassified non-coding RNA is filed under the name plant metagenome. Its description in RNAcentral is "partial contains small subunit ribosomal RNA, internal transcribed spacer 1, and 5.8S ribosomal RNA". The stretch from base 1 to 54 matches the Rfam family "Eukaryotic small subunit ribosomal RNA", at positions 1778 to 1831 of the family's 1831-position model. The record is from RNAcentral.